Molecule: non-coding RNA, 176 nt
Filed under: Lacticaseibacillus saniviri
Lineage: Bacteria; Bacillati; Bacillota; Bacilli; Lactobacillales; Lactobacillaceae
Also listed under: 1 other name
Description: Lactobacillus saniviri Lysine sequence
Rfam family: Lysine riboswitch aptamer
About the family: Riboswitches are metabolite binding domains within certain messenger RNAs that serve as precision sensors for their corresponding targets. Allosteric rearrangement of mRNA structure is mediated by ligand binding, and this results in modulation of gene expression. This family includes riboswitches that sense lysine in a number of genes involved in lysine metabolism, including lysC.
Source: RNAcentral
CCAAGAAAUAGAGGUCGCGGUCGAUCACAAACCCUGAGGAGUGCCCUAACACGUUGAAUCAGGCUCAAGGAUCACCGCCGAAAUGGUGCGUUAUAUACGGGAUAACGUACUGUUGGGCCAGCGGGUGAAUAACUCCUGGACUGUCUUAGCAUUUGCUAAGGAGCGCUAUGAUUCUG